GGCGUGGUGGCGAAGUGGUAACGCUUCGGUCUGCAAAACCGACACGCGCGGGUUCGAUUCCCGCCCACGCCUCUA
Molecule: transfer RNA, 75 nt
Filed under: Candidatus Yonathbacteria bacterium RIFOXYC1_FULL_52_10
Lineage: Bacteria; Candidatus Yonathiibacteriota
Also listed under: 1 other name
Description: tRNA-Cys
Rfam family: tRNA
About the family: Transfer RNA (tRNA) molecules are approximately 80 nucleotides in length. Their secondary structure includes four short double-helical elements and three loops (D, anti-codon, and T loops). Further hydrogen bonds mediate the characteristic L-shaped molecular structure. tRNAs have two regions of fundamental functional importance: the anti-codon, which is responsible for specific mRNA codon recognition, and the 3' end, to which the tRNAs corresponding amino acid is attached (by aminoacyl-tRNA synthetases). tRNAs cope with the degeneracy of the genetic code in two manners: having more than one tRNA (with a specific anti-codon) for a particular amino acid; and 'wobble' base-pairing, i.e. permitting non-standard base-pairing at the 3rd anti-codon position.
Source: RNAcentral